UCCUUUAGGGUUUACAAUAUACAAGUAUAUAUUCCUGUUACAUGGACCAAAACCCUAGUCCAAAAACUCCCUAGACUAAUCCAAUCAAAAUGCACUCACCGAAACCUAUAUACACCCAUGGUUUGAUCAUUCACUCAACCCCAUAGACCCAAACCUAGUCUAAACUUGGAUUAACCCCCACGAGCUUCACAAACCAGGGUCUCA
This 204-nucleotide long non-coding RNA is filed under the name Elaeis guineensis (African oil palm). RNAcentral's name for it is "long non-coding RNA (EGUI_LNC047842)". Lineage: Eukaryota; Viridiplantae; Streptophyta; Magnoliopsida; Arecales; Arecaceae. The record is from RNAcentral.